Molecule: ribosomal RNA, 253 nt
Filed under: uncultured bacterium
Lineage: Bacteria
Description: partial 16S ribosomal RNA
Rfam family: Bacterial small subunit ribosomal RNA
Source: RNAcentral
UACGUAGGGGGCAAGCGUUGUCCGGAAUCAUUGGGCGUAAAGAGCGCGUAGGCGGCCCGGUAAGUCCGCUGUGAAAGUCAAAGGCUCAACCUUUGAAUGUCAGCGGAUACUGCCGGGCUAGAGUCCGGAAGAGGAGAGUGGAAUUCCUGGUGUAGCGGUGAAAUGCGCAGAUAUCAGGAAGAACACCCGUGGCGAAGGCGGCUCGCUGGGACGUUACUGACGCUGAGACGCGAAAGCGUGGGGAGCAAACAGG